UGGGGAAUAUUGCACAAUGGGCGCAAGCCUGAUGCAGCCAUGCCGCGUGUAUGAAGAAGGCCUUCGGGUUGUAAAGUACUUUCAGUCGGGAGGAAGGUGGUAAGGUUAAUAACCUUGGCAAUUGACGUUACCGACAGAAGAAGCACCGGCUAACUCCGUGCCAGCAGCCGCGGUAAUACGGUGGGUGCAAGCGUUAAUCGGAAUUACUGGGCGUAAAGCGCACGCAGGCGGUUGAUUGAGUCAGAUGUGAAAUCCCCGGGCUUAACCCGGGAAUUGCAUCUGAUACUGGUCAGCUAGAGGCUUGUAGAGGGGGGUAGAAUUCCAUGUGUAGCGGUGAAAUGCGUAGAGAUGUGGAGGAAUACCGGUGGCGAAGGCGGCCCCCUGGACAAAGACUGACGCUCAGGUGCGAAAGCUUGGGGAGCAAACAGG
This 429-nucleotide ribosomal RNA is filed under the name Chloroflexota bacterium. Its description in RNAcentral is "Chloroflexi bacterium partial 16S ribosomal RNA". It matches the Rfam family "Bacterial small subunit ribosomal RNA", at positions 355 to 776 of the family's 1533-position model. Lineage: Bacteria; Bacillati; Chloroflexota. The record is from RNAcentral.